RNAcentral lists this ribosomal RNA (108 nucleotides) under Castor canadensis (American beaver). Lineage: Eukaryota; Metazoa; Chordata; Mammalia; Rodentia; Castoridae. The record is from RNAcentral.
CAGCCAUACCACCCUGAACACUCCCAAUCUCAUCUGAUCUUGGAAGCUAAGCAGGGUCAGGACUGGUUAGUACUUGGAUGGGAGAUUGGGAUUUUAGAGUUAAAAAGC